Molecule: ribosomal RNA, 432 nt
Filed under: uncultured bacterium
Lineage: Bacteria
Description: partial 16S ribosomal RNA
Rfam family: Bacterial small subunit ribosomal RNA
Source: RNAcentral
ACGAACGCUGGCGGCAUGCCUAACACAUGCAAGUCGAACGAGACCUUCGGGUCUAGUGGCGCACGGGUGCGUAACGCGUGGGAAUCUACCCCCAGGUUCGGAAUAACUCAGAGAAAUUUGAGCUAAUACCGGAUGAUGACGUAAGUCCAAAGAUUUAUCGCCUGAGGAUGAGCCCGCGUAGGAUUAGGUAGUUGGUGAGGUAAAGGCUCACCAAGCCGACGAUCCUUAGCUGGUCUGAGAGGAUGAUCAGCCACACUGGGACUGAGACACGGCCCAGACUCCUACGGGAGGCAGCAGUGGGGAAUAUUGGACAAUGGGCGAAAGCCUGAUCCAGCAAUGCCGCGUGAGUGAUGAAGGCCUUAGGGUUGUAAAGCUCUUUUACCCGGGAUGAUAAUGACAGUACCGGGAGAAUAAGCGCCGGCUAACUCCGUG